ACGAACGCUGGCGGCGUGCUUAACACAUGCAAGUCGAACGGAAAGGCCCUGCUUGCAGGGUCCUCGAGUGGCGAACGGGUGAGUAACACGUGGGUGAUCUGCCCUGCACUUCGGGAUAAGCCUGGGAAACUGGGUCUAAUACCGGAUAGGAGCCAUUUUUAGUGUGUUGGUUGGAAAGUUUUUUCGGUGUAGGAUGAGCUCGCGGCCUAUCAGCUUGUUGGUGGGGUAAUGGCCUACCAAGGCGGCGACGGGUAGCCGGCCUGAGAGGGUGGACGGACACAUUGGGACUGAGAUACGGCCCAGACUCCUACGGGAGGCAGCAGUGGGGAAUAUUGCACAAUGGGCGCAAGCCUGAUGCAGCGACGCCGCGUGGGGGAUGACGGCCUUCGGGUUGUAAACUCCUUUCGCUAGGGACGAAGCUUUUUGUGACGGUACCUAGAUAAGAAGCACCGGCUAACUACGUG
RNAcentral lists this ribosomal RNA (464 nucleotides) under uncultured bacterium. Its description in RNAcentral is "partial 16S ribosomal RNA". It matches the Rfam family "Bacterial small subunit ribosomal RNA", at positions 29 to 507 of the family's 1533-position model. The record is from RNAcentral.